UUUUCUUUGUUUGGUAUAAUGAGUGGUUAUUUCGUAUCCGAUUUCACGGGUGCACUUAAGUGGAGUUAAAAGGUGCCGAUCUAUGCGUCUCCUCUGGAAACCUCCAGAUCUCCACCGCCUCCGACCUCCACCGCUUCCCAAAAAAAACACAGCCUAAGCCCCAGCCUGUCUCUCCAUCGAUCCUCGCGUCAUGGCGUGUAUGCCGCGGCCUGCGUCGCCGUUCCCUCUCCCAGCAGGGUCCAUCGCCGUCAGGCCACCCGCCAGGCCGCCAUCUGCGGACCGCAUCGACGCCCAUCGCCGUCAGGCCACCCGCCAGGCCGCCAUCUGCUGACCGCAUCGACGCCGUCGUCGAGGCGGUUGGAAGCGCGGAUGAGUUUAUUGGGAGGAGUUGAUUGCAGCUAAUCCUCUAGAUUUUUCUGCAUGUGGUGCAGCCCAAGGCAGGGAGUUUAUUGGGACGAGCUGAUUCCGUCUAAUUUUCUAGAUUUUCCUGGACAUGAUGGAGCCUGCAGGAGGAGGUCAGCCUCAGCGGCUGCAAGUUGGAGCCCGGGCUACUGCCUGCGCGUUCGAGUCUUGCGUGGUGCCAGCUGCGGCGAUUACGUUGACGGCUUCCAUUCUUCGCGCCCAAUAGAAGUAGCAGCAAGAUGGACGGGACCUCCAUCCUAGGGAAUACUACCGACUACAUGGAGCAGCUAGAGAUGCUCCGGCUUCCUGACCCCUGAUCCCGCCGGCUGGUUCGCCAUGUUCCCGUUUGAUGAUCAGAAGCCCCGCCGCCUACUCCGGAUUCGUGAGCUCAGAGGACCAUGGCUGCAGAGGAAAUCAUACUGGAGCGGCGCACACAUGGAGGGGGUCUGGCAGUGGCUGCCCACAGGGCCGGUACUCCAUGAGCGGCUGCUCCAUGCUAGGCCAUGGAUAUACCUUGAGAGUUGUUGCGCUGUGCUUGGUCGCCGCGGCUCGGCCAUGAGUCUAGAGGUGACCAAGCCAUCGAUUGGAUGGGGCAAAAUGCCCUUUCCCAAUCCCUUAUAGCAAAGGACACGAUAGGUUUUGCGGUCUCCCAAAAGAUCAUCUCUGCAGAGUCUCAACUACAUACCAAACUAUGUAUCUAAGCUGUUUCACCGCUGUUUCAGUAUGUUACUGUGGUUCUGUUAAGCUUUUUAAUUCUACGGUCUCUCCUGAAGAGAGGCAGGAUCUAGCGGUGUUUGCAUAGUGGGUUCUCAAUGCAAGAACGGAAUUGUACUAAUCACUCCCAAAGGAGGGAAGCUACCCCUUCUUAGAUUUUUAUACCACCCAAUAUGAUAUUGUAACCUGAUUCUCGCCAUGUUUCUGCUAUUGUUAAUGCAAUAUAUGAUUAAUUUUCUGGAAAUUAUUCCGAUCCAUCUUAUCUGGCACAGCGUGCUAUAGGUUGUCCUACUAAUAAUGUAGCCAAUGCCAUAAAUGGUGUGGUUUCCUCUAGAAAUUGACAAGAUAUAUACUUAAUGGAGAUUAAGUACUGUACCAGUAUUUGAGAUUUUGAAUGAUCUUCCAUGACAUAUUCCCUGAUGGAGAUUAACCACUGUACUGUAUUUCAGAUUCUCAACCAUCUGCUUGCUACCGUUCAGAUAACGUUUUCCUUUGCUUGAAGGUGAGCUGAUUCUAACUUUGACCUCAAGCUGCUCCCGCCCUUGAGAGGUGAAUUGUCAUUUCUAUAGGGUUCACAAGUAAUUUGUUCAACUAUAAUACAGUAGCCAGUGCAUGAGACAGAGAUAAGGCAUCACUGCAUCAGCUACAGUUUUUUUGUGUCGUACACACGAAUUAAAGGGCCAUGUUUCAAAGUAUUACUCCAGUGUUCAACUACGGGCUGAUUUCAAGAUGGUUUUUGCCUGCAACAGGACAGAACUUGCUAUUUUCAGGUCAAGCGCUACGUCAGAUCUGUUAGAAAAUAGAGCACCCUGUCGGAACAUUAUGUGGUCAUGUAAGGCGAACUAAUUACUAAAAUGGUGCCAUCUACUAAGUCUGCAUAGAUUUUUCGAGAUCUUUUUCAGCUCCACCAACCUAGAUAGGUGCUUAUCCUUCCGCUGUAUGGUAGUGCCUUGUGCUGAAGCUUUUUGUUAUAACAGUACAGCAGUGGUGAGGUUUUUUUUUUAUUGCCAGCGCUAAAAUUGCAGGCUUCUAUGUCUCUUAUAUUGAUAGUUAGUUCUAAAGAGUUUGUGCAGCCGGUAGUCGGAACUGGAGUCUUUUGGAAUGACACGUUGUUUCUGUA
Molecule: long non-coding RNA, 2236 nt
Organism: Lolium perenne
Lineage: Eukaryota; Viridiplantae; Streptophyta; Magnoliopsida; Poales; Poaceae
Source: RefSeq, a predicted model, not a curated record